UACGUAGGCAGCGAGCGUUGUUCGGAAUUACUGGGCGUAAAGAGUGUGUAGGCGGUGAUCUAAGUUCGGUGUGAAAUCUCCCGGCUCAACUGGGAGGGUGCGCCGAAAACUGGGUGACUGGAGCGUGGGAGAGGAAAGCGGAAUUCCUGGUGUAGCGGUGAAAUGCGUAGAUAUCAGGAGGAACACCUGUGGUGUAGACGGCUUUCUGGACCAUAGCUGACGCUGAGACACGAAAGCGUGGGUAGCAAACAGG
This 253-nucleotide ribosomal RNA is filed under the name uncultured bacterium. RNAcentral's name for it is "partial 16S ribosomal RNA". It matches the Rfam family "Bacterial small subunit ribosomal RNA", at positions 524 to 776 of the family's 1533-position model. The record is from RNAcentral.